CCUACGGGAGGCAGCAGUGGGGAAUAUUGGACAAUGGGGGAAACCCUGAUCCAGCGACGCCGCGUGAGUGAAGAAGUAUUUCGGUAUGUAAAGCUCCAUCAGUAGGAAAGAAAAUGACGGUACCUGACUAAGAAGCUCCGGCUAACUACGUGCCAGCAGCCGCGGUAAUACGUAGGGGGCAAGCGUUAUCCGGAUUUACUGGGUGUAAAGGGAGCGUAGGCGGGAGCGCAAGUCUGGAGUGAAAUGCUGGGGUCCAACCCCGGAACUGCUGUGGAAACUGUGAGGCUGGAGUGCAGGAGAGGUAAGCGGAAUGCCUGGUGUAGCGGUGAAAUGCAUAGAUAUCAGGAAGAACACCGACGGCGAAGGCAGCUUACUGGACUGUAACUGACGUUGAGGCUCGAAGGCGUGGGGAGCAAACAGGAUUAGAUACCCCAGUAGUC
This 440-nucleotide ribosomal RNA is filed under the name uncultured bacterium. Its description in RNAcentral is "partial 16S ribosomal RNA". It matches the Rfam family "Bacterial small subunit ribosomal RNA", at positions 338 to 795 of the family's 1533-position model. The record is from RNAcentral.